Molecule: ribosomal RNA, 511 nt
Filed under: Vibrio diabolicus
Lineage: Bacteria; Pseudomonadati; Pseudomonadota; Gammaproteobacteria; Vibrionales; Vibrionaceae
Description: bacterial SSU rRNA
Rfam family: Bacterial small subunit ribosomal RNA
Source: RNAcentral
GGCGCAAGCCUGAUGCAGCCAUGCCGCGUGUAUGAAGAAGGCCUUCGGGUUGUAAAGCACUUUCAGUCGUGAGGAAGGUGGUGUAGUUAAUAGCGGCAUUGUUUGACGUUAGCGACAGAAGAAGCACCGGCUAACUCCGUGCCAGCAGCCGCGGUAAUACGGAGGGUGCGAGCGUUAAUCGGAAUUACUGGGCGUAAAGCGCAUGCAGGUGGUUUGUUAAGUCAGAUGUGAAAGCCCGGGGCUCAACCUCGGAAUAGCAUUUGAAACUGGCAGACUAGAGUACUGUAGAGGGGGGUAGAAUUUCAGGUGUAGCGGUGAAAUGCGUAGAGAUCUGAAGGAAUACCGGUGGCGAAGGCGGCCCCCUGGACAGAUACUGACACUCAGAUGCGAAAGCGUGGGGAGCAAACAGGAUUAGAUACCCUGGUAGUCCACGCCGUAAACGAUGUCUACUUGGAGGUUGUGGCCUUGAGCCGUGGCUUUCGGAGCUAACGCGUUAAGUAGACCGCCUGGG